RNAcentral lists this signal recognition particle RNA (99 nucleotides) under Candidatus Competibacteraceae bacterium. Its description in RNAcentral is "signal recognition particle sRNA small type". It matches the Rfam family "Bacteroidales small SRP". From Rfam's summary of the family: The non-coding component of the signal recognition particle in Bacteroides Lineage: Bacteria; Pseudomonadati; Pseudomonadota; Gammaproteobacteria; Candidatus Competibacteraceae. The record is from RNAcentral.
GGGUAAGUCUUAUACGACCAGCUCCCUUUGAAUCCCCCAGGUUCGGAAGAAAGCAAGGGCAGAAGGUUGUAGCGGUGCGAUGUAAGUAACUUGCCCCUU